CACCAGGAAGCUCAUAGCAUUAGCCUUUUAAGCUAAAGAUAGAGGAACCUGCCUCCUCCCUGAUGA
This 66-nucleotide transfer RNA is filed under the name Laonastes aenigmamus (Laotian rock rat). RNAcentral describes it as "tRNA-Lys". Lineage: Eukaryota; Metazoa; Chordata; Mammalia; Rodentia; Laonastidae. The record is from RNAcentral.